AUACGGUGAAUACGUUCCCGGACCUUGUACACACCGCCCGUCAAGCCAUGGAAGGCUGGGUGUACCUAAAGUCGGUAACCGUAAGGAGCCGCCUAGGGUAAACUAGUAACUGGGGCU
Molecule: ribosomal RNA, 117 nt
Filed under: uncultured bacterium
Lineage: Bacteria
Description: partial 16S ribosomal RNA
Rfam family: Bacterial small subunit ribosomal RNA
Source: RNAcentral